AACGAACGCUGGCGGCAUGCCUAACACAUGCAAGUCGAACGAGACCUUCGGGUCUAGUGGCGCACGGGUGCGUAACGCGUGGGAACCUGCCCUUAGGUUCGGAAUAACUCCCCGAAAGGGGUGCUAAUACCGGAUAAUGUCUUCGGACCAAAGAUUUAUCGCCUUUGGAUGGGCCCGCGUUGGAUUAGCUAGUUGGUAGGGUAAAAGCCUACCAAGGCGACGAUCCAUAGCUGGUCUGAGAGGAUGAUCAGCCACACUGGGACUGAGACACGGCCCAGACUCCUACGGGAGGCAGCAGUGGUGAAUAUUGGACAAUGGGCGAAAGCCUGAGCCAGCAAUGCCGCGUGAGUGAUGAAGGCCUUAGGGUUGUAAAGCUCUUUUACCCGGGAUGAUAAUGACAGUACCGGGAGAAUAAGCUCCGGCUAACUCCGUG
Molecule: ribosomal RNA, 433 nt
Filed under: uncultured bacterium
Lineage: Bacteria
Description: partial 16S ribosomal RNA
Rfam family: Bacterial small subunit ribosomal RNA
Source: RNAcentral